UGUGACAUCACAAUGCUCCAAUGUGACAUCACAAUGCUCCAAUGUGACAUCACAAUGCUCCAAUGUGACAUCACAAUGCUCCAAUGUGACAUCACAAUG
Molecule: microRNA precursor, 99 nt
Filed under: Nannospalax galili (Upper Galilee mountains blind mole rat)
Lineage: Eukaryota; Metazoa; Chordata; Mammalia; Rodentia; Spalacidae
Description: miRNA (ENSNGAG00000005798.1)
Source: RNAcentral